GAGACCUCAGGUCAUGCGGGGCUACCCGCUGAGUUUAAGCAUAUCAAUAAGCGGAGGAAAAG
RNAcentral lists this ribosomal RNA (62 nucleotides) under Lespedeza davidii. Its description in RNAcentral is "partial 26S ribosomal RNA". It matches the Rfam family "Eukaryotic large subunit ribosomal RNA", at positions 1 to 61 of the family's 3401-position model. The record is from RNAcentral. Lineage: Eukaryota; Viridiplantae; Streptophyta; Magnoliopsida; Fabales; Fabaceae.